GAUACUUUGCCCUUUCCUCAGUUGCCACCAAGGUGCUUGGUCCUUCCGAGGAAGCUAAGGCCACAUUGGGGUGAGGCCAUCACUUCAUCCAGUGACUAGCACCACCUCUGGCAAUGUCAGCCCCACACUCGCCCGCGCCAUGGCCUCCAUCUCCGAGCUUGCCUGUGUCUACUUGGCCCUCAUUCUGCACGAUGACGAGGUGAUCAUCAUGGAGGUUAAUAUCAAUACCCUCAUUAAAGCAGCCAGUGUAAAUGUUGAACCUUUUGGCCUGGCUUGUUUGGAAAGGCCCUGGCCAACGUCAACAUUGGAAGCCUCAUCUGCAAUGUAGGGGCUGGUGGACCUGCUCUAGCAGCUGGUGCUGCACCAGCAGGAGGUCCUGCCCCCUCCAUUGCUGCUGCUUCAGCUGAGGAGAAGAAAAUGGAAGCAAAGAAAGAAGAAUCUGAGGAGUCUGAUGAUGACAUGGGCUUUGGUCUUUUUACUAAACCUGUUUUAUAAUGUGUUCAAUAAAAAGCUGACUUUA
This 520-nucleotide long non-coding RNA is filed under the name Homo sapiens (human). Its description in RNAcentral is "novel transcript". Lineage: Eukaryota; Metazoa; Chordata; Mammalia; Primates; Hominidae. The record is from RNAcentral.